Biomphalaria pfeifferi is the source of this 353-nucleotide non-coding RNA. Lineage: Eukaryota; Metazoa; Mollusca; Gastropoda; Planorbidae. The record is from the annotation of a GenBank genome assembly.
AAAUAUUACAUCUAUUAUGCUUGACGAAAUUUGUCAUACACAUUUACUUUCACAAAACUGAAAUGGACCACAUCUACUAUUUCCAUCGCUCAAUACAAGUGAAGCAAAACUUGUUUUCUUAACAAAGAUCUAGAUUAGAGCUUAGGAGAAGAUAACUCAAACUUUUGCUGCCUUUGGAUUUUACCCAAACAUGGAAAAGGCUUCAGAUGUUAACCGAGCAAAAAUUAAGAGGUGGUGACCCUAAAGUAGCUUACAGUACAACAUCUUAGCAGAACCUGUGAUACCAGUCAUCCUAAACUGUAUCACUGUUCCCUUGGACACAUCUGCUGUGUGGUGGUGGUGGGGGGGGGGGG